UACGUAGGGGGCGAGCGUUGUCCGGAAUUAUUGGGCGUAAAGAGCGUGUAGGCGGCUUUGUAAGUUACUUGUGAAAUCUCUGAGCUUAACUCAGAACGGUCAAGUAAUACUGCAGAGCUUGAGUGCAGAAGGGGCAACUGGAAUUCUUGGUGUAGCGGUGAAAUGCGUAGAUAUCAAGAGGAACACCUGAGGCGAAGGCGGGUUGCUGGGCUGACACUGACGCUGAGGCGCGAAAGCUAGGGGAGCAAACAGG
RNAcentral lists this ribosomal RNA (253 nucleotides) under uncultured bacterium. RNAcentral describes it as "partial 16S ribosomal RNA". It matches the Rfam family "Bacterial small subunit ribosomal RNA", at positions 524 to 776 of the family's 1533-position model. The record is from RNAcentral.